This is a long non-coding RNA of Impatiens glandulifera, 394 nucleotides long. RefSeq lists it as uncharacterized. The transcript has 3 exons. Lineage: Eukaryota; Viridiplantae; Streptophyta; Magnoliopsida; Ericales; Balsaminaceae. The record is from RefSeq and is a predicted model, not a curated record.
AACUGAAAAACCUAUGUUGAGAGAGAGCGGUCAAGCGAGAACUCUCCCGAGUUGAGCCCUAGCCACCAGAGCCGCAUUAGGGAAGAAGACGAACGAUUGUCGAUGGAGUUCGCAUUAGGGUCACCUAGCAUGAGAUCCGCAGAGAGACACUAACCCUCAGGGUGGUUGGUUGUGUUGUCGGCCGCGGAACAGAGACCCCUUUGGGCUGAGAAAUGAAGGUUCACGAAUCGCUUUCUCGAGCUGAAAAAGUGAGCUGCAAGACCUCCAAGGUGGAUGGUGGGGUCAUGUUAGGGAUCAAACAACUAACCCAACAAGUGUUGGUUACGAGAAUGCAGUUAAUGCCCCUGCUCCCAAUGUUGAUCCACUCCUCAAUCAUUGGGCUUUAGAGAAGGUU